CCUGUCCCGGCCCGGCCCGGCCCGGCCCGGCCCCGCCCGGGCUGCUGCUGCUGCUGCCGCGGCCGCUGCCCGCCGCCGCUCGGCUUUCCGCGGCCGUGCUGGCACCGGGGCGCUCGCGGCCCCGGCUCGGCCCUCGCGGGGCCCGCUCGGAGCAGCCUCCGGGCCCGGCUCACGGCCGAGCCCCUGCGCUGACACCGCUCCCGAACGGCUCCGGCCGCGGAAUCCUCCGCACCUUCUUCCACGAGUGUUGUCUUUAGAAGCGGUGACGUUUUCCAAGGUAGCCUUGACUGGCUCUGAAUCAGGUUUUGGGGGUACUUUUCCUUUUGCUAUGUCACGACUAAUAAGGACAGAUUGGAACACGACCUGGCACAUCCAGGAAGCAUCACGAGUAUGUGGUUGUCAUUUAGGAGAGUGUCUCUGGAUUGUAACUGAAGGCUCCCUGUCUGUUUCAGGAACACAGGUUAUGCACAUUUACCUGCAGAGACAUUUAACCUUGAUUUUGAAGGACUGCUGUUGCAGUUCUGGAAAACUGUCCUGAGCAAAACAAUAAAAACAUUUCUGAAACAUCCA
Lonchura striata (white-rumped munia) is the source of this 570-nucleotide long non-coding RNA. RefSeq lists it as uncharacterized. The record is from RefSeq and is a predicted model, not a curated record. Lineage: Eukaryota; Metazoa; Chordata; Aves; Passeriformes; Estrildidae.